CUUCUCUUGCCUAUCUGCUUCAGUCUAUGUUCCUCAGUUCCUUGUUGCUGUCUCUGGGGUGGCUGCUGAUGAUACUGCCUGCUCCUGUGCCUGGUCCUCCUGAAUCCUCCUCCUGAUCUCUGGAUACAACUUUGCCUGCUUUUGUUGGUCUGCUGGGCUGCUUGUAGCUGCUGAUGUUUGGAACUUUGGAACUCACAAACUUGGAGCAGAUCUCCAGCCAACUGCUCCCAGAUUCAAGAGAGAAGAUGGACAAUACCAACCCUACUUCAGGUUGCUGA
RNAcentral lists this long non-coding RNA (278 nucleotides) under Monodelphis domestica (gray short-tailed opossum). RNAcentral describes it as "lncRNA (ENSMODG00000037270.1)". Lineage: Eukaryota; Metazoa; Chordata; Mammalia; Didelphimorphia; Didelphidae. The record is from RNAcentral.